RNAcentral lists this ribosomal RNA (430 nucleotides) under Bacillota bacterium. RNAcentral's name for it is "Firmicutes bacterium partial 16S ribosomal RNA". It matches the Rfam family "Bacterial small subunit ribosomal RNA", at positions 355 to 776 of the family's 1533-position model. The record is from RNAcentral. Lineage: Bacteria; Bacillati; Bacillota.
UGGGGAAUAUUGGACAAUGGGCGCAAGCCUGAUCCAGCCAUGCCGCGUGUGUGAAGAAGGCCUUUUGGUUGUAAAGCACUUUAAGCGAGGAGGAGGCUACUUGGAUUAAUACUCUAGGAUAGUGGACGUUACUCGCAGAAUAAGCACCGGCUAACUCUGUGCCAGCAGCCGCGGUAAUACAGAGGGUGCGAGCGUUAAUCGGAUUUACUGGGCGUAAAGCGUGCGUAGGCGGCUUUUUAAGUCGGAUGUGAAAUCCCUGAGCUUAACUUAGGAAUUGCAUUCGAUACUGGGAAGCUAGAGUAUGGGAGAGGAUGGUAGAAUUCCAGGUGUAGCGGUGAAAUGCGUAGAGAUCUGGAGGAAUACCGAUGGCGAAGGCAGCCAUCUGGCCUAAUACUGACGCGGAGGUACGAAAGCAUGGGGAGCAAACAGG